Non-coding RNA from Dipodomys ordii (Ord's kangaroo rat), 335 nucleotides. The record is from Rfam. Lineage: Eukaryota; Metazoa; Chordata; Mammalia; Rodentia; Heteromyidae.
GCCUAAUUGUGAGAUCUGGUCACUCCUUAAGUCUUUUGCAUACUAUCAGACCCUAAAGAUAAUGACAUUUCAAAAUAUACAUCAGGAUCUGGCUGGCUAGGCGGGUGUCCCCUUCCUCCCUCACUGCUGCAUGUGCGUCCCUCCUGAAGCUGCGCGGUCGAAAAGGACUAUCAUCCCCCGAUAGAGGAGGACCGGUCUUCGGUCCAGGGUAUAUGAGUAGCUGUUCUCCCCUGCUUGAACCUCCAAACAAGCUCUCAAGGUCCAUCAGGAAAAUUUCCUUGAACUUACCUUCUCUCCCCCAAACAAAUAUGCCUUUUAUUUCAUUUGUAACUUGC